This 29-nucleotide non-coding RNA is filed under the name Homo sapiens (human). The record is from RNAcentral. Lineage: Eukaryota; Metazoa; Chordata; Mammalia; Primates; Hominidae.
UUGGAAUAGAACAGAACUGUAUGGAGUUC